CAAACCCACCCGCCGCUCAUUGACGAAAUUAGGGCAUCGCUCUUCCGCGUCUAUAAAUACCGUUGUUUCACCGAAGAGCCGCACUCGCCUUGCAGAUCAGCGGCGGAAUUGGCGAAAGCGUCGUAUGCGAUGCAACUCCACCGCCCUCCGCUCCUUGAAUUCACUUGUUAUCUUUCGUCAAUCACGAAAAGAUUGUGUUUUUGUUGAUUUUUCUUAGAUCUUUAAUCGAGUCCUCGUGGUUUUAUAUUCUCUUUUCGAAUUUUUUUCUCUUGUUUUGUUGGUUUGUUCGUUCACCAAUUCGGUUUAAUAUGGUCUCCUCUGAUGAUCAGAAUUGAAAACUUUCGUUCUUCCGAGGGUAAAUACGCUGCGGAAAAUUCAUGGAGACCUGAACUGAGGAGACCAAUCUUGUUCUGGAAAAUGAGUCGUAUGUCAAAUGAGAGCGACGAGAGAUUGAUACCAAGAGACCAGAUUGACUCACCAUCAAUUGAACAAGGCUGCAGCACGGGUUCGUAAAGGGAGGAAAUCAUAUGUUGAAGAAGGGUCCCUGGAUGUCUGCAGAGAAUGCAGUUUUGGUGGGUUAUGUUAAGAAAUAUGGCGAGGGAAACUGGAAUUCUGUUCAGAAACACAUGGGACUCGGUCGAUGCAGCAAGAGCUGUCGCCUACGACGGGCUAAUUCACCAGACGAGGAGCAAGUGAUCAUUGAACUCCAUGCUAAGAUGGGAAACGAAUGGGCUCGGAUGGCUGCACAUGUAGGUCUUUGUUUUCUUUUUCUUGAUAUGACAUGGUUCUUGUAUGUUGCAUCAUAUUAAGCUAAGUAUGUAUUCCCUUCACUUGCUUAUGCUUUCUACCAAGGAAGAUUUUUUCUUCAAA
Molecule: long non-coding RNA, 870 nt
Organism: Musa acuminata AAA Group (dessert banana)
Lineage: Eukaryota; Viridiplantae; Streptophyta; Magnoliopsida; Zingiberales; Musaceae
Exons: 2
Source: RefSeq, a predicted model, not a curated record